AGCAGAUGCGAUGAGAAGCGAGACCACAUGGCCAAGAUCUGAUAUCAGGAAGACAUGCGUCUGGCUCAACGCAGUAGAUGCACUGAACUUGAAGCUCCAUACUGUAGGUCGGUGGACUUGAGACUGUCUUUCCUUGAUUUUGCUACAACUAACUGUAAAGCAGCACACAGAACCUCCAUGACUCCUGGGAUGAUAUACAUUGAAUGCCCGUGAGCUGAUUAAUAAAGCAGAGGGCUGAUGGGAAAUGAACCGCAAACUUACUCAAACAGCAAUAAAACAAGUCAGGAUUCACAAAUCUGCAUUAAGAAGGCCCUGUGCUAGUAGCUCCCCCUCCUUCCUCCUUUCGCCCUGAUUUAUAAAACAGGACUGGCUGUAAUUGACUCCCCCUCGGAUCCUAAUAUAAAGUUAUAAUCGGACUCGGGCGUGCGAGCCAGGUCUCCGCCACACGUUUAAAAGCAAAUAGAGCAAACUGCAUGGAGCACAGAAACAUGGCCAUGAAUGAUGUCUCUGUGAAUGCUGGCUAAAUUAAGAGGCAAGGGUUGAUUUAGGCCAUCUCGCUCCUCUCUCUCUAUCUUUUUCUUGCCUUUUACUCUCUUUUUUCAGGGUUGCAUCCACCGGUUCUUGUACUUGUACUCUAUCAGAUGCAUAAAACUGCUUUUAUAAAGACAAUAAAUGUAUCAAAUUCAUGAGAACAACUCAAGUCAAGCCACUUACCAAGCUAUUUAUAUAGCGCUUAGAUACAAGUUUAAAUUACAAAAGGCCUGGAUUUUCAAUGUGGUCUCAAACUUUUUGGGUCCCACUGUGUGGUUAAACCAGA
Ctenopharyngodon idella (grass carp) is the source of this 817-nucleotide long non-coding RNA. RefSeq lists it as uncharacterized. The record is from RefSeq and is a predicted model, not a curated record. Lineage: Eukaryota; Metazoa; Chordata; Actinopteri; Cypriniformes; Xenocyprididae. The transcript has 3 exons.